Molecule: ribosomal RNA, 454 nt
Filed under: uncultured Alloprevotella sp.
Lineage: Bacteria; Pseudomonadati; Bacteroidota; Bacteroidia; Bacteroidales; Prevotellaceae
Description: bacterial SSU rRNA
Rfam family: Bacterial small subunit ribosomal RNA
Source: RNAcentral
ACGGGAGGCAGCAGUGAGGAAUAUUGGUCAAUGGACGGAAGUCUGAACCAGCCAAGUCGCGUGCGGGAUGAAGGCCCUACGGGUCGUAAACCGCUUUUGUACGGGGAUAAAGUCACCCACGUGUGGGUGUUUGUAGGUACCGUAAGAAUAAGGAUCGGCUAACUCCGUGCCAGCAGCCGCGGUAAUACGGAGGAUCCGAGCGUUAUCCGGAUUUAUUGGGUUUAAAGGGAGCGUAGGCGGACGUUUAAGUCAGCUGUGAAAGUCUGCGGCUCAACCGUAGAAUUGCAGUUGAAACUGGAUGUCUUGAGUGCACGCAGGGAUGCCGGAAUUCGUUGUGUAGCGGUGAAAUGCUUAGAUAUGACGAAGAACUCCGAUCGCGAAGGCAAGUGUCCGGAGUGCAACUGACGCUGAGGCUCGAAAGUGUGGGUAUCAAACAGGAUUAGAUACCCUGGUA